CUAAGCAUACAACGCACUGACAAGCGAAUAACUACAUUGCGUUUCGAUUGAAAUCAUUAAUCGAAAACAUUAUUCAUAUUAAAAAAUUCAGUCUCGUUUGCCUGCAGGGACUCUAUUGUUCUGAAGUGUUUUAUUUGGAAACUUAUUACUCCAAAUACCAAUUUUCAAAGUUGAAUGAAUUCAAUUUCAGCAAAAGCUACAAUGUUUGACGUUACGUUACCACGCUUUGUUGGAAUCGUGGUGUGUACGUUGGUAGUUUUAGCCAAUCAUCAAAUGGUAGCGCCACCAGUCAGGAUCAGCAGGGAAGUGUCGGAACAAGAAUCGAACCAGAAUGCGAACUCUAUUUCGACUUCUCAAUCAAGUAUUAGACAACUUUCAGCAGAUUGCGUGUUGGGAACGUCUAUCCGGGAUCUUUGUGAGAGAUGCGGAGUCUAUUUCAAAGAUAUCAAAGCUUUUGAUUACUGCUGCCAUGACAUUAAAAAUGUCCGUUCUUAUUGUCGAAACAUUUUAAUCAGCUACAGACUCGGAGAAAACGACUGACAUUGAACACAAGCAAAGCUAUGUAAGUUUGUCUUGUGUGUAGUAUCCCCACAGUCUGCUUGCUAACAUUAUAGAAGGAAAGGUCGAGCGUAUGAAGGAUAGACAACUGUAUUAGCUGGGCUGAAAAUUUGAUGGAACCUUUACUUGUAAUUUUAAGGUAGGGCACUAAUCUUCCGAUAGUCAGCAACUAGCCAAUGUUCGUCUGCAAACAAGUGGCUGCUUGACAAAUAUAACUUUCCAUAACGUAUUUUGAACUUCUUUUUGAAACAGCCAGAAGUAUGGAAGAGAAAAAAACGAAAAAAAUCUAUUAUAAGUUAUUUGAUGAAUAACAACCGAUUUUAUUGUCAUUCAAGAACUAUUUAUUCAAAACUUUAAAUUGAGUUUCUAUUUGAAGUCCUUAGUCAAGAAUAGAUAUCCUAACGAUAAUGUUGUAAUUGUAAUGGUUUGUUUUGACGACUAAAUAUUUUUAGAUGAAAAAUUACAUUGGGCAAAAAGAAUUAUUUUUCUAAGACUAUUAAGCUUAUUAUUAAAUAAAAGUAAUCGUUAGUUUUAUUAUAUUUUUUUCUCUAAAUCGAAUUAACUAGGACAUCGCGCUAAAAUUACAAAACAAAAGAAGCAUUAUUAUUCUUUAUUUGAUGAAAGUUUAUAAAUGACGUUAUGUAUGCUACAUAUCAAGUUGACUCGCGAGAACUAAUACUUUGUACAUCAUAAAUUAAAAUUCCUUGUUAUCGUAACAUUUUGUUUUUAAAUAUUUAUUUCAUGUUUUUACGUAUGUAGACCUUUCCGGUCCAUUUGGCAAAACAGAACUUAACCUGUUAAUCUUAGCCCUCUAUUGCACAUUGUAACGUAUAGGUAACAAGUUUAUCUUUGUUUGCUUAAUACACAUACAAAUGUUUUAAUUCUGUAAAUGAAUGCUCUUACGUCCAGGUAACAGUCUAAAUAAACCAUGAAAUUAUUUUCGUGGUUCCUCAGUUGAACAAUGUUACUUCUAGAUAACGUACCCAUUUAUAAAUUACCAAAAUAUAUUUCACAAAAGCAUUUUUUGUGCAGUAUAGACUUAUUUAAAUAUGAAAUUCAAAGGAAAGCUUUUUAACACCGUAUUUUCAUAAUGCGUGCAAUAGAGGAUUCAUUUAAAAUUUGUUUAUACCACCAAGUAAGAAACACGUGUACUUUAUGUUUCUCCUCAUAUACAUUAACAAUGAGUUUUCAAACUGGAUUGAUUUUAAAUUCUAAGCAGCACAUAUGUUUGUGUUAAAAAAUAUACAUUAAAGCCAUGUCAUCAGUCUCAAAACUGGUUGUAUAUAUAAUGGUUGUCAGUACUUAUUGGUCGCCGUUUUUAAUUUUUUUAAGCUGUGAAUAUUUCUUCAACAUAUGUUUUUGACAAUAUGCACAAAGCAUGAGUAGUGUUGCAUUUUUUUUUUCUCUUUUUGGCCAAUAUUUGACACUUGGUAUUCCAUGAUGUCAGGCAAAUAUUGGUUUAAAACUAUUAUUCAAACACCUAAUUUUAAACUCAUCGAUGCAGUGCUAAGUUCCAUAGAAACCCCCCAAGUACAUACCAUUUCCUUAGUUUGAUAUAUGACUACAUUCUUUGAGAUUCUAUACGAGGUUAUACCUCAGGAUAGUAGUGACUUCACUGUAAUAAAUGGUUGCAUUAUUAAAAUCCAAGAGUAGUUUAGUUAAGACAUGAAAUAAUUGAAAGAGCACCCUAACUAAAAAAAAAAAAAAUAAAAAAAAAAAAAACAACGACCCCCAA
RNAcentral lists this long non-coding RNA (2293 nucleotides) under Limulus polyphemus (Atlantic horseshoe crab). RNAcentral's name for it is "uncharacterized LOC111085194". The record is from RNAcentral. Lineage: Eukaryota; Metazoa; Arthropoda; Merostomata; Xiphosura; Limulidae.